This 547-nucleotide ribosomal RNA is filed under the name uncultured bacterium. RNAcentral's name for it is "bacterial SSU rRNA". It matches the Rfam family "Bacterial small subunit ribosomal RNA", at positions 355 to 896 of the family's 1533-position model. The record is from RNAcentral.
UAGGGAAUAUUGCGCAAUGGGGGGAACCCUGACGCAGCCAUGCCGCGUGAAUGAAGAAGGCCUUAGGGUUGUAAAGUUCUUUCGGUAUUGAGGAAGGUUGAUGUGUUAAUAGCACAUCAAAUUGACGUUAAAUACAGAAGAAGCACCGGCUAACUCCGUGCCAGCAGCCGCGGUAAUACGGAGGGUGCGAGCGUUAAUCGGAAUAACUGGGCGUAAAGGGCACGCAGGCGGUUAUUUAAGUGAGGUGUGAAAGCCCCGGGCUUAACCUGGGAAUUGCAUUUCAGACUGGGUAACUAGAGUACUUUAGGGAGGGGUAGAAUUCCACGUGUAGCGGUGAAAUGCGUAGAGAUGUGGAGGAAUACCGAAGGCGAAGGCAGCCCCUUGGGAAUGUACUGACGCUCAUGUGCGAAAGCGUGGGGAGCAAACAGGAUUAGAUACCCUGGUAGUCCACGCUGUAAACGCUGUCGAUUUGGGGGUUGGGGUUUAACUCUGGCGCCCGUAGCUAACGUGAUAAAUCGACCGCCUGGGGAGUACGGCCGCAAGGUUA